AGCGGCGAACGGGUGAGUAAUACCUAGGAAUCUGCCUGAUAGUGGGGGACAACGUGUGGAAACGCACGCUAAUACCGCAUACGUCCUACGGGAGAAAGGGGGCUUUUCGGAGCUCUCGCUAACAGAUGAGCCUAGGUCAGAUUAGCUAGUUGGUAGGGUAAAGGCCUACCAAGGCGACGAUCUGUAGCGGGUCUGAGAGGAUGAUCCGCCACACUGGAACUGAGACACGGUCCAGACUCCUACGGGAGGCAGCAGUGGGGAAUAUUGGACAAUGGGCGAAAGCCUGAUCCAGCCAUGCCGCGUGUGUGAAGAAGGCCUUUUGGUUGUAAAGCACUUUAAGCGGGGAGGAGGGCACCAUGGUUAAUACCCAUGAAUGUCGGACGUUACCCGCAGAAUAAGCACCGGCUAACUCUGUGCCAGCAGCCGCGGUAAUACAGAGGGUGCGAGCGUUAAUCGGAAUUACUGGGCGUAAAGCGCGCGUAGGCGGCUUGUUAAGUCGGAUGUGAAAUCCCUGGGCUCAACCUAGGCAUUGCAUUCGAUACUGGCAAGCUAGAGUAUGGGAGAGGAAGGUAGAAUUCCAGUGUAGCGGUGAAUGCGUAGAGAUCUGGGAGGAUACCGAUGGCGAACGCAGCCUUCUGGCCUAAUACUGACGCUGAGUGCGAAGCAUGGGGAGCCAACAGAUAGAUACCCUGGUAGUCAUGCCGA
RNAcentral lists this ribosomal RNA (705 nucleotides) under uncultured bacterium. Its description in RNAcentral is "bacterial SSU rRNA". It matches the Rfam family "Bacterial small subunit ribosomal RNA", at positions 94 to 803 of the family's 1533-position model. The record is from RNAcentral.